Long non-coding RNA from Coccinella septempunctata (seven-spotted ladybird), 473 nucleotides. RefSeq lists it as uncharacterized. The transcript is spliced from 2 exons. The record is from RefSeq and is a predicted model, not a curated record. NCBI's taxonomy places the organism in Eukaryota, Metazoa, Arthropoda, Insecta, Coleoptera, Coccinellidae.
UUUUAUUUCCUUUUUAUUGGAACAGUAUAGUGAAUUAACGGCAGACUCAUUACUGGAGAACACAUAUAGGGAGUACUAAGAAAACAUCUUAAUCCUUUUCAUCACGGUCAGCGAAUAACAUGAUUUUAUUAUAGUUUUUAUAGGUAUAUUCUCCUAUAAAAGUCAUUAGGAGUCAUUCAUAUAUAGGAGAAUAGAAUAUUAAUCAUUUUAUAACAGUUAUAGUUUUUAUGUUCGAUCCUUUCAUAAUAUAAAAAGUGGAGUUCAGAAAUCAGAUCGCAGUGAAAUCGAAAACAUCAAUAUGAAUUUAAACUUCUUGUGGCUUGUUGCAUUCUUGUCUGCCAUUUUUGUUGCGGUGGCACAAGAACAGUCUGAGCCUACUGCAGCUCAAGGAAAGGCACGAAUCACUAUCAAGACGUGAAAUUAGCAAUUAUCCUAUAAAUCUACAGGAAUAAUGAAUAAAUGAUUUGAGUCUG